This 460-nucleotide ribosomal RNA is filed under the name uncultured bacterium. RNAcentral describes it as "partial 16S ribosomal RNA". It matches the Rfam family "Bacterial small subunit ribosomal RNA", at positions 338 to 795 of the family's 1533-position model. The record is from RNAcentral.
CCUACGGGAGGCAGCAGUGAGGAAUAUUGGUCAAUGGACGAGAGUCUGAACCAGCCAAGUAGCGUGAAGGAUGACUGCCCUAUGGGUUGUAAACUUCUUUUAUAUGGGAAUAAAAUGUUCCACGUGUGGGAUUUUGUAUGUACCAUAUGAAUAAGGAUCGGCUAACUCCGUGCCAGCAGCCGCGGUAAUACGGAGGAUCCGAGCGUUAUCCGGAUUUAUUGGGUUUAAAGGGAGCGUAGGUGGAUUGUUAAGUCAGUUGUGAAAGUUUGCGGCUCAACCGUAAAAUUGCAGUUGAAACUGGCAGUCUUGAGUACAGUGGAGGUGGGCGGAAUUCGUGGUGUAGCGGUGAAAUGCUGAGAUAUCACGAAGAAGUCCGAUUGCGAAGGCAGUUCACUGGACUGCAACUGACACUGAGGCGCGAAAGUGUGGGUAUCAAACAGGAUUAGAUACCCCGGUAGUC